CUCCCGCACAGGUGCUGCAUGGCUGUCGUCAGCUCGUGUCGUGAGAUGUUGGGUUAAGUCCCGCAACGAGCGCAACCCUUUUCUUCAGUUGCCAUCAUUAAGUUGGGAACUCUGGAGAUACUGCCGGUGAUAAACCGGAGGAAGGUGGGGAUGACGUCAAGUCCUCAUGGCCCUUAUGGGCUGGGCUACACACGUGCUACAAUGGCGGUGACAAUGGGAUGCGAAGGGGCGACCUGGAGCCAAUCCCAAAAAACCGUCUCAGUUCGGAUCGUACUCUGCAACUCGAGUGCGUGAAGGUGGAAUCGCUAGUAAUCGUGGAUCAGCAUGCCACGGUGAAUACGUUCCCGGGCCUUGUACACACCGCCCGUCACACCAUGGGAGUUGGCUUUACCCGAAG
This 397-nucleotide ribosomal RNA is filed under the name Alexandrium margalefii. Its description in RNAcentral is "partial Bacterial small subunit ribosomal RNA". It matches the Rfam family "Bacterial small subunit ribosomal RNA", at positions 1027 to 1426 of the family's 1533-position model. Lineage: Eukaryota; Dinophyceae; Gonyaulacales; Pyrocystaceae. The record is from RNAcentral.